GACGAACGCUGGCGGCGUGCCUAAUACAUGCAAGUCGAACGCAUUUUCUUUCACCGUAGCUUGCUACACCGAAAGAAAAUGAGUGGCGAACGGGUGAGUAACACGUGGGUAACCUGCCCAUCAGCGGGGGAUAACACUUGGAAACAGGUGCUAAUACCGCAUAAUUCCAUUUACCGCAUGGUAAAUGGAUGAAAGGCGCUUUUGCGUCACUGAUGGAUGGACCCGCGGUGCAUUAGCUAGUUGGUGGGGUAACGGCCUACCAAGGCUGCGAUGCAUAGCCGACCUGAGAGGGUGAUCGGCCACACUGGGACUGAGACACGGCCCAGACUCCUACGGGAGGCAGCAGUAGGGAAUCUUCGGCAAUGGACGCAAGUCUGACCGAGCAACGCCGCGUGAUUGAAGAAGGUUUUCGGAUCGUAAAACUCUGUUGUUAGAGAAGAACAAGGAUGAGAGUGGAAAGUUCAUCCCUUGACGGUAUCUAACCAGAAAGCCACGGCUGACUACGUG
Molecule: ribosomal RNA, 507 nt
Filed under: uncultured bacterium
Lineage: Bacteria
Description: partial 16S ribosomal RNA
Rfam family: Bacterial small subunit ribosomal RNA
Source: RNAcentral